UUUUUUUCCACCUGAUAAUCCAUAAUUAUGAGUUUGCCUAGCAAGUAUUGCACAUUUUCUCUUGAACAUUCUCAAAUUUGAUAAUCUUGUUACUUCUAAAUUAUUCAGAGUUGGCAUAUGCUGAAAGAAACACAUUGAGAAGAAGAAAAUUACACUCUGGUUACUAACCGUGACAUUUCGUUGGUAGGCCUUAUGGAAUCUUGUUCUAAGCACUAAGUUUACAAGAAUAUUUCGAGGUCCUCUGAGUUGCUUAUUUACUUAGUUAACAUUAGUUCUUUUUCUCCUGGUUACUUUUCUGAAGGAAGAGAUUUUGUUCUCGGUGAUUGGGCAUAGUGAUGUUGAUGCAUCGCCUGAUCUCAUUCUCACAGAGGAUACCAAUGGGGUGAAUGCCGGUAGGAGAAACUUGCACAUUGUUCAUUUUUACUUUAUGUUUGUCCAAAUCAUUUGCCAAGAAAAGCAAUGGCAAUUUCUGUGAUAUAUCACGCUCAUUAACACUGAAUAUUUGUUCACCUGCUACUGUAUCUUGAGAAUACGCAUAUGAUAGCAUAGUAUGACUCAUUUGGUGGUUGAUGAAAAUCAUAUACUGGUCAGAUUGUAGGAGGUUUGUGAUUAGUUGUGCCAUUCACUUUUAGAAAUAGAACUGAGAGAUGAAACCCAUCUUUCGCGAAUUAAAACUGAAUGUGCAAGUUUUUAUUGAAGCAACAACAAAGUUUAAGUUCUGAUUUUGUAGAUAAAAAAUAAUUGCCGACUGAAAAAAUUUCCUCCCAGAUACAAGUGUAUCUGGUGGUUGAUUAAAAUCAUCAUUAUAAUCCUGUGAUUUUAGAGUAGUGUGAUUUUGGAAAAAAUACAAUGCCAAAGUCGGCCGAAGCGAUGUCAUAUGAAAUCUGGCUUCCAUGGUUUAUACUAAAGGCAUCAUUUUUGAGGUGGUAUAUACAAUUAUACACAACUUAAUUUAUUCUAAAGAAUCAUAUUUCAAAGCAGCCUGAGCUCACCAACUUAAUUUUAUCUGUCUUUUGUUUUGUAUUCGUGUCAUUUAUUUAGAUAGAUGUUUCUGUCCUUAAUUAUGUGGAAGGUCAUGAUGACUGCACCUACAUCUGGUUCCACUUUCUUGACAAAUUUGUGGAAAAUGUUUUCAGGUACUCAACCUAUUGAUGCACAUGGACAUGAUGACUCUCCAGCGUUUAUGGACCAACCAACCUGUAAUCAUGGACCUUAUUGUCUUGUAGACCAUUUGGUGUUUCGAGUGUUUUGGAGCUUGCACUUUGUGCAUGUAGAUACAAACUUGUGUGUUCUGGACCAUCUGAAGUCUCUCAUAGUAACCAAUAGUCCUUAUCUUUUUGUGACUUGUGUGCUCUAGAUGAUUGUUAAGAUGGUCAAAACUAUGCUUCCUCUAUGUUAAUUUGUUUGUCAACUUGCGUUCAACGUAUGUGCAUGUUUAUAAACAUAUUUUCAUU
RNAcentral lists this long non-coding RNA (1454 nucleotides) under Hordeum vulgare. RNAcentral's name for it is "long non-coding RNA (HVUL_LNC018866)". Lineage: Eukaryota; Viridiplantae; Streptophyta; Magnoliopsida; Poales; Poaceae. The record is from RNAcentral.